GAUGAACGCUGGCGGCGUGCCUAAUACAUGCAAGUCGAGCGAACAGAUAAGGAGCUUGCUCCCUUGACGUUAGCGGCGGACGGGUGAGUAACACGUGGGUAACCUACCUAUAAGACUGGAAUAACUCCGGGAAACCGGGGCUAAUGCAGGAUAACAUGUUGAACCGCAUGGUUCUACAGUGAAAGGCGGCUUUGCUGUCACUUAUAGAUGGACCCGCGCCGUAUUAGCUAGUUGGUGAGGUAACGGCUCACCAAGGCAACGAUACGUAGCCGACCUGAGAGGGUGAUCGGCCACACUGGAACUGAGACACGGUCCAGACUCCUACGGGAGGCAGCAGUAGGGAAUCUUCCGCAAUGGGCGAAAGCCUGACGGAGCAACGCCGCGUGAGUGAUGAAGGUCUUCGGAUCGUAAAACUCUGUUAUUAGGGAAGAACAAAUGCGUAAGUAACUGUGCGCGUCUUGACGGUACCUAAUCAGAAAGCCACGGCUAACUACGU
Molecule: ribosomal RNA, 496 nt
Filed under: uncultured bacterium
Lineage: Bacteria
Description: partial 16S ribosomal RNA
Rfam family: Bacterial small subunit ribosomal RNA
Source: RNAcentral